CCUUCUCCAAUUCACUCAUUUUUAUCUGUAUUACAGUAGGUAAAAAACUCUAGCAUUCUUGAUUACUUUUCAAGUCUUUACUACUUGCGAUCCCAGCAAUGAUUAUUAGGAGCAAUGAUGAAAUAAACCCGAGUUAUGAUUCUUUGUACGAGGCAGAUUAUUUUACCAUUAAAAUAACACACGGUGGUUUAAUGAAACUCAAGCCUACAAGGCAUUAUAUUGGGGGCAGAAUGAACUUUAUUGACUAUGUCAAUGGGGCUGAACUAAAGUUGUCGAUAUUCAAAUCUAUGGCUGAAUUAUGCGGUUAUGGGAAUGACUCAGUAACUUUUUGGCACAAGCCCGAGAGUCUAGGUGACAAAAUGAGGCUAGUUUCAACUGAUAAGGAAGUCGUCGUUGUUGCAAAAAAUAUACUGAUCGGGUAGUUGAUGUGUACUUUGAACAUUUGAAUGGUCUAGAUCUCACUUUUCUGAAAAUGCAAAAUCUGAUAUCCUACUUAAUAACAUGUGUGAAUGUUUUAAUGGAAUGAUCCUCGAAGCUAGAGACAAGCCAAUAAUCACUCUAUAGGAAAAGAUAAGGUAUUUACUUAUGGCUAGAAUGCAGGCAAAUAGAGAUAAAGCUGCCAGGUGGGAUAUUGGUGAUAUAUGUCCUAGGAUUAAGGAUAUAUUGCAUAAAAAUGAGGCGGGUGCUGCGGAGUUCAUUCCUAGAAAAUCUAAUGAGUGGAACUACGAGAUUAUAGGGGCAAGCAUACAUGAUAAGUGGGCUGUGGACUUGCUAAACAAAAUAUGCAGUUGUAGGAAAUGGGAUCUGACAGGAAUUCCUUGCAAGCAUGCCAUUUCUGCAAUUUGGGCUAAAAAAGAUGAGAUUAAUUCCUAUGUUCAUGAUUGCUACAAGGUGGAAACAUAUAGAAGGGUCUAUGACUUUGCUAUUCUUCCUAUGAAUGGUCAGCAUAUGUGGCCUAAGUCCAGCAACGUGCCUCCUUUGCCUCCACAACUAGUAAGAACAAGCACAAAAGGAAGAAAGCAAAAACUAAGGAGAAAAGAAACAGAUGAAGUAGGAGCAAGUAGAACUAAAAUGAAAAGAAAGUAGAAUUCCUUGCUUUGUAGCUUAUGUAAUAAUGCUGUCCACAAUAAAAGAACAUGCAAAUUUAAUAUUGUUCAGCCAGAUUCCCAAGUUGAUGAGCCUUCAUCUUAUGCUCCUGCCUCGUCAACUCGUGCAAAGCUUCCGGUAAGAAGAGGACAUGUGGCGCAUGAACAUAUGCAAUGUGCUCAAGAAUUUGAUUCUUAACAUGACUGAAGUUCUGAUAUUGUUGCUGCUGAAAUAUUGAUAUUUUGUUGUUGAAAUGGUGAUAUUUUGCUGUUGAAAUGCUGGAAUGAGUACUUUUGCCGCUGAAAUGCCGAACUUUUGCUGUUGAUAUGCUGAUUUUCGCUGCUGAAAAUACUGUUUUUCGCUGCUGAAAUGCUGAUAUUUUUGCUGUUGAAAUGCUGGAAUGCUGUAUUUUCCCCGCUGAAAUACUGAUUUUUGUUGCUGAAAUGCUGAUUUUUGCUGCUGAAAUACUGAUUUUGCUGCUGAAAAGCUGAUUUUGGCUGCUGAAAUGCUGAUAGCUUUGCACUUUGAAUGCUUUUUUACUGCUGGAAUGCUCGUUUUGUAGCUGAAAUGCUGAUUUUGGGUGCUGAAAUGCUGAUAGCUUUGAACUUUGAAUGCUUUUUUACUUAUAGAAUGUUGAUUUUAGCUGUUGGAGUGCUGAUUUUUGCUGCUGAAGUGCUGAUACCUUUGCAGUUUGAAGGCUUUUUUAUCAUUGAAAUGUUGUCGAUGAUGAAGAUUAUUUUUGCUGUUGCAAAGAUUUAUUUUUCUUCUGCUAGAUACUUCAAUUAUGCUGAAUCUGUUUCUUUUCUUCCUUUUUUUAUAAAGAACAUCCUGUUAGUUUUUUAACUGAAGUUAUUUUAGGUUGCUGUUAGUAGGAAUUUUUAAACUGAAGUUAUAAUUUUCUGUUAGUGAGACUAAAAGUGCUCAAGUUUUAUAAACUUAAAGGACAAAUAGUGUUAAGGGUUAUAUUUAGAGGACAAAGUUAAGCCUACCCCUAAAGAUAAGAGAUAAUUUUGGCUAAAACCUCGCAGUAUGCCACUGACAAGGCAAGGCACAGAUGGAUCUGGUCGGGUCAGUAUAUCAUUUGCCUUUAAAAUUUUAUAAUGGGCUGGGCUGGGUCAAAAUAAAAGGCUUUAGUCUAGUCUAGGUUUUCAGCUCCAUAGUCCAUAUACGCAGUCUCUGUUGGCCAGGGAAUUUUCUUCCCAAAGCCAUCACUGAGCCAUCGAGAGAAAUCAUUGCCCGAAGAGGAUCGACAGGAAACAAUAUUGGAUCUUUGGAGAUGCGAACAUUAGCAGUGUCCUUGUUGUGGCUGCAAAGUUUGGAUAGGGCUAAGAAUGGCCUCCACUAAACCAGGCCAGCUUGCUGAGCUUGAAAUGCUAAAAUCUAAGGGCCUCAACAUGAUGCCCAACCAAUAUGUUAAUUUCAAUAGAGAUUGAUGAAGCUGAGUUGACUUUUAAAAAAUUGGAAAUAUUUAUGCAGAUGUGGACGAGGGAAAACUGUUGUGAUCGCAUGAGUUUAUUUGAUAAAGUUUGAUAAUGAUUUGAUGGAAUUCCUUGUUUUGCGGGAGCAACAGUCGUCCAAUUUACGUCCCAAAUAUUCUAAUGUAUCAACUUAUCAACUCAGACAAAUAUGUGAUUUGCUUCGCCUGCACCGAAUCAUCAUUAAAUUCACUUCUUUGUCUGAGUUGAUAAAGAUGAUCCUUGAGACAUGUAUACUCCGUGAAAGAUUUCUCAAGAUGGUCCCCAUUGCAUCGAUGGCUUCUAAACAAGGGAUUUCCAUCAAUCCAUUUUCAAACUUGAUAUCGAAUAAACUUGUGCGAUAACCGACAGUUUUCUUUUUCCAAAUUUGUAUAAAUGUUUGAUUUUUGAGAAGUUAACUCCAGCUUCAUCAAGCUCUCUUGAACUUUGAACAUGACGAUAUGUUGAGUUCCUUAGUUUUUGUCAUCUCUUUUGAUGUAAACAUCUGCAAACGAUUACUUUACUUGCAACAGGCUAUCCGUGCUCACCACCACAUGAGAAAGCUCAGCUCACCAACUGACUCGUCAGUAUAAGACUAAAAAAUGUACGUACAAGUGACUACUGAAAGAGUAACACAAGAAAUAAAAGAGGGGGCUAUGAUGCCAUAAAAGUUAUCCAAAUCUUUCUGCUGUGUACUUGACAUCAAAGGUAUAUUGAUCACAGGGGCUUACAUUACUCUCUUGAAUUUCUGAUUUUUUUGUUCUGUACAUGGUGAUAUAAUUCAUCAAUGAGCAUGAAAAAGAUACAAUCAAACAUAUGAUUACUGCUACGUUAUCGUGCCAAAAGAGUUUCAUUCACAGGGAUUUAUAUAAGUCACUGAGGAUCCAAAAGAUAUGGUAUUAAUUGUUAGAAUGGCUCUAAGUUGGAAGACCUGCAUAAAUUAUUUUGGCUAGCUCACAUUGUCUAUAUGUUUUUUCAAUAUAUUUUGCAUAUACUGUUGAUGAAAUUUGUGCCAUUGUGUAUAUUUGUUACGCCAGAUUUUAAUAUUCUAUGUUUUGUUCAUACUGAAAGACAAUUAUCUUCAAGAAAGACAAUUACUAUGAGGCAAGCCAAAGGAAAUAAAAAAUGAACUGCAGUAGGUCCAGCGUGAUGUUGAUCCUGAAGGCUAUUUGGUGUUGAAUCUUGGUUCUUUCAAAAUAAUUUUAUGUCUACCUAAUCAAGUUUGGUAAUCUAAUAGGAUGUUUACCUAAUCAAGUUUAGUAGUCUAUUAGUAAGAA
Nicotiana attenuata is the source of this 3817-nucleotide long non-coding RNA. RefSeq lists it as uncharacterized. The record is from RefSeq and is a predicted model, not a curated record. Lineage: Eukaryota; Viridiplantae; Streptophyta; Magnoliopsida; Solanales; Solanaceae. The transcript is spliced from 6 exons.